Long non-coding RNA from Heterocephalus glaber (naked mole-rat), 1948 nucleotides. Lineage: Eukaryota; Metazoa; Chordata; Mammalia; Rodentia; Bathyergidae. The record is from Ensembl.
CGGGACCUACAGGAGCCCGGCCUGGGCGUGAGCACAGCGUUGGCCAGUUAGCGCGCUCGGUUCGCGGAGGGGCUGGGAUCGGCGCUACUGUGAGACAGGAAAGAGGAUAGAAACUGAGAAAUACAGGCUCAUACAAACAUGUGUCCUCAUCCACUUUAUUCACCAGAUCUGGCACCAUGGGACUUCUGGCUCUUCCUCAAAGUCAAACUGACCACGAAAGGAAAAUGUUUUGAAUCUCUUCAAGACAUCGAGGCAUCCACAACAGCACAACCAAAGACUUCCAGAACUGUUCCAGAAAGUGGCAAGAACGACGGGAUGAAUGUGUUCAAAAUGAGGGGGAGGGCUGGCCAUGGAGGCACCUGCCUGUAACCCCAGCACUUCGAGGCCAAGGCAAGAGGAAUGCUGGCAUUGGUCAGAUUUACAUUUUCUGCAUGUGAGACUGGGAGUGAGAACAAGAUAUUGGCUGAAAAGCAGAAGUGAAACGACUCAUUGCUGUGUUGAGAAGAUGCUCCCAGGCUGUUGUCCACACAGCAAGUCUGUGUCUGGGCCCAUCUGGGAUCAGAGAAGCCACCUGGAGCAGCAAUGGGGAAACUUGGAGGGAGAAGCUGCAGUCUGAGUUCAGUGAUGAUCAUGUGUGGGCAGUUUCUAUGGAAAAGAAACUCCACAGGAAUUUAGCAGCAUUCAGAACACAAUCAGAACUACAGGAUUUCUGCGGGAGAUCAAAAUCUUCGUAUGUAAUCAGGGUGGGAAAAUUUUGGUGUCUCAUCAAACAACACAGACUUCCCACUGGAGAGAAGACAUAUGAAUGUAAGGAAUGUGGGAGAACAUUUACGGAAGUUCAGAUCCUAGAGGCACAGGAAUAUUGGAGGUGGAGAGAAAUGCUGUGACGGUAAUAAGUACAUGUGGGAAAACCUCCUACCAGAGUCCAAACCUUCAACAAUAUUCUGUAAUUCACACAAGAGAGGAAAACAGUCAAUGCAAAGGAACUUCUAGGAAAAACCAAAACUCAUUCGGAGUAUGAUACUUCAUUUCGGAGAGACACCUUUGAAUGUUUUGAACCUGGAAAAUCUUUUAUUUCAUCCUCACACCUUCUUCAGCAUCAAUCAGGGUAUUUACAAUAGAGGAAAACCAGAUGACUAUAAAGGAAAUGGAAGAGUCUUCAGGUGGCCCCAGAGCCACUUAAGCACCAGAGAAUUGGGUGGAGAGAAGCCUUGUGUAAUGUCUGUCAGAGGCUUUCCAGCUGGUGCGCAAACCUGGGACAAUAUAGGAUCAUCAUGCAGGAACAAACCAGACAAGUGUAGCCUAUGUGGCAAAGCAUUCUGGGAAAGUGGGAAAUUUCUUCAGCGUCAAAUAAUUCAUACUAGGGGGCAAGGGGAAACAGCCUAUUUGUGCAAAGGCUGCAGGAAACUGGGGGAAGUUCAGCCCACCUUUUCCCAUCAGCAAGGAGAUGCUACUGAAGAAGAAAACUUACAAGUGCAAAAAAUAUGGGACCGUCUCCAGUUGACUCAGCCUGAUUCAGCAUUGAGAAUUCGUACUGGGAAAGAAAGCUUAGGUGUGAAGAAGGUGGCAGAGCUUCCCAUUCAAGUUCCCCUCUUAUUUAUUAGACCCUGAGGAUUCAUGGUGAAGAAAUGACGCUGGACAGCAAUAAAGAAGGUUGGACUCCAGGACUCAAGUGGGAGUUCUGGACAAGGACGUCUCACACAUGUCCUCGCAAUGUGCCCCCGAAAAAGAUGUGUUGUGCUGUCUCCAAGAGAGAUGACAAGAGCUUGUGCACUGAACCUGCUGGCCUUCUUCUAUUUAUAUCCUUUUCCUGCUGUUCCUGCAUUGUGUCCUUUUGCUGCAAGAAAUCUCAACCUUGAAUAGAGUGUCAUGUGGAAUCAUGGGGGUCCUCUAUCUGUGCGGGGUCACUGAGAAUAGAAAGUUAUUUUAUAAAAAUAGAAACGUAAUU